This is an RNA transcript of Daphnia magna, 900 nucleotides long. RefSeq lists it as uncharacterized. The transcript is spliced from 2 exons. NCBI's taxonomy places the organism in Eukaryota, Metazoa, Arthropoda, Branchiopoda, Diplostraca, Daphniidae. The record is from RefSeq and is a predicted model, not a curated record.
UCGUCUGCUCUGUUCGUUUCCUUUAUCACUGUUGUGAUUGGCUGUUGAAGUUUUCAAACGUAUUUCCUGAUUGGUGCACUUAUCACACACCCGCUGGAGGCUCUGACUGCUAUUUCCGAAAUUUAGCACAAAGACAGACGAUUCCCCCCCUGUCGUGAACGAACCAGGGUUCUAUCAUGGUGUAAAAGGGAGGUGUACCAACUCUUCAGUUAAGAAGGGUAUCUCUUGUGAAGCCUCUUUGUGGUACCAGUAGGCAUUGCUAGGUUAUCUAUAGUAAACGCCAUCUCUUGAGCUUGUGAGCAAAUGUUACCUUCGGAUCAGUCGUCAACGGUUUUCCAUUAGUCGUACUGAAAGUUUGAACACAUUAAUGGCGUCGUUUGGUUGACGCCUUGAUAGCGUCUUUCCAAAAAUGGUGAAUAAAUUGUGCUUCGUCGAUGGUUGUUAGUUAUAGUUAGUUAGUUAGUUAGUUAGUUAUAGUUGUGCAAAAGAAACCGACAACCAUUUUCUUCACCCACUCAAUGGCAAUAUCAAGAUUUACGCAUUCAUUGAUGUCCCACACCUUAUAAAAUGCACUAGAAAUCAUUUUCUCCAUCACAAAAUUGCUCAGUUUGCCGGGCACACUGUCUACCACAUGUUCUAUCAGAGAGUAUUUGAGCAUCAAAGGUUGCUUGGUUUGAAAUUGGUUCCCAAGUUAAAACUUGCUCACAUUUGGCCAUCAACCUGGCAGAGAAUGACGGUAAGCUUGGCCACACAGCUGUACUCCAAACAUAUGGCCAUGGCUUUAAAAUUUUUAAGAGAAGACAAAAAAACAGCGCAUUUAUUCAAUGGUACCUCAUUAAAUCUUCCAAAUUUCUAAAUCUAACUCAUUAUUUUAUUAGGAUCGGAAGCUACAGAAAAGCU